Long non-coding RNA from Herpailurus yagouaroundi (jaguarundi), 520 nucleotides. RefSeq lists it as uncharacterized. The record is from RefSeq and is a predicted model, not a curated record. The transcript has 2 exons. Lineage: Eukaryota; Metazoa; Chordata; Mammalia; Carnivora; Felidae.
ACUCAGGGAGGCACACGCUUAGCAUUUUAAUCACACUUCGGCCAACCUUCGAAGCUGGCAUGGGGGAGGGGGGAAAAUCAACUUCCUGCUGGCUUUCAAGUUUGACGACAGAACGGCCACACCAAAUGAACUUGCAGCCCUGCCGCUCUCGGUGGCCUUCUUGGCCCGGCUGGAGUCAGCGUACCCAGUCCUUCAGAAGGGAUCACGGGAACGACACCUGCCAAAUACCUGUGGAGUCCAGAAGGCUAAGAAGGCGAUUUCGUCGGGGCAUCCUGGUCACCACAACUGGACACGCAGGCAAUUAUUUACGGUCUGAGAGGCGCUGUGGGAUCAGAGAGAGCCCGGGCUCUGGGGGGUAGCCAAGAUGAAAAAAUUAGGGAAAAUCCACGCUGUUGAAAGUCUGGGAAACAGACACUCCCAGAAACCCUGGGAGUGAACACUAGAGCAACUUCAAAGAACUUUACCUCUCAAAAUGUAAAAAGCGUGCACCCUUUGCUACGCAAGGUCACCUGUAAAGCCA